CGGUGAAUACGUUCCCGGGCCUUGUACACGCCGCCCGUCAAGCGAUGGAAGUUGGGAGUACCUAAAGUCGGUCACCGCAAGGAGCCGCCUAGGGUAAAACCGAUAACUGGCGCU
RNAcentral lists this ribosomal RNA (114 nucleotides) under uncultured bacterium. Its description in RNAcentral is "partial 16S ribosomal RNA". It matches the Rfam family "Bacterial small subunit ribosomal RNA", at positions 1360 to 1482 of the family's 1533-position model. The record is from RNAcentral.